GCGCCCGUAGUCGGUAGAGCGGUGGAACGGUGAUCCACAGUCCCGGGUUCAAGUCCCGGCGGUCACU
Phthorimaea operculella (potato tuberworm) is the source of this 67-nucleotide non-coding RNA. The record is from the annotation of a GenBank genome assembly. NCBI's taxonomy places the organism in Eukaryota, Metazoa, Arthropoda, Insecta, Lepidoptera, Gelechiidae.